CGGAAAAUCAAGAACUACCGUAACGUAUCAACACCAAGGCUUGAACCAAGAUGACCCACAGUCUUGGAAACAUUGAAGAUGACAACGUAUACGUUCCAUUAUUACCCGUCAAAGACCUCAGCCCAUUAACAUUCGUUUUCCGGCGAAGGAGUCCGGUUUUCGACCCUUGGGUGCUACUUUCCGGUGAGAUCAGUGAGUAGAGCUCUGCUGUACAUAUCAUUGACAACACAUCCCUCGACAGAAAUGACAUACGGAUUGAGUAAGUGAAGAAAUACUCCUCUUCAACAGAACCCAUAAUCCCUCUCUCUCUCUCCGAUCACCGGGCUGUCACAUGAUCUCGUCGGAAACAUUAAUCCAGUCCAGCAGCCGCUCCACCGGAUCUUCCAUGAAACUGGGAUGGUCGGCGACACAAACCAGCUCCGACGACGUCAUCCUCCACCAGCCAUGAUCGAUUAUAUAUAUAUAUAUAUAUUACGUACUACUCUAUCAGAUUUCCCAGAUGGCUACUGCAGUUGCUGUUUGGCUCACCGAUCGACACGGUCACCUUCAACCGAGACGGCGGCGGAACGUGCUAUCGAAAAGAGCUGAAUCCGGUG
Molecule: long non-coding RNA, 596 nt
Filed under: Panax ginseng (ginseng)
Lineage: Eukaryota; Viridiplantae; Streptophyta; Magnoliopsida; Apiales; Araliaceae
Description: long non-coding RNA (PGIN_LNC007191)
Source: RNAcentral